AGGGUGAACGCUGGCGGCGUGCUUAACACAUGCAAGUCGAACGGUGAAAGAGGAGCUUGCUCCUCUGGAUCAGUGGCGAACGGGUGAGUAACACGUGAGUAACCUGCCCUUGACUCUGGGAUAAGCGUUGGAAACGACGUCUAAUACCGGAUACGACCUCCGAAGGCAUCUUCUGGAGGUGGAAAGAAUUUCGGUCAAGGAUGGACUCGCGGCCUAUCAGCUAGUUGGUGAGGUAAUGGCCCACCAAGGCGACGACGGGUAGCCGGCCUGAGAGGGUGACCGGCCACACUGGGACUGAGACACGGCCCAGACUCCUACGGGAGGCAGCAGUGGGGAAUAUUGCACAAUGGGCGCAAGCCUGAUGCAGCAACGCCGCGUGAGGGACGACGGCCUUCGGGUUGUAACCUCUUUAGUAGGGAGAAGCGAAAGUGACGGUACCUGCAGAAAAGCACCGGCUAACUACGUGCCAGCAGCCGC
This 477-nucleotide ribosomal RNA is filed under the name uncultured bacterium. RNAcentral describes it as "SSU rRNA". It matches the Rfam family "Bacterial small subunit ribosomal RNA", at positions 26 to 518 of the family's 1533-position model. The record is from RNAcentral.